Brienomyrus brachyistius is the source of this 285-nucleotide long non-coding RNA. RefSeq lists it as uncharacterized. The record is from RefSeq and is a predicted model, not a curated record. Lineage: Eukaryota; Metazoa; Chordata; Actinopteri; Osteoglossiformes; Mormyridae. The transcript is spliced from 3 exons.
CUCCAGUGCAGUGACAGGGACACUGCAGCUAACAGGUUAGCCCAUUCUGUUGUCUAUGUGGACCCCAGUGCUCCAGUGCAGUGACAGGGACACUGCAGCUAACAGGUUAGCCCAUCCUGUUGUCUGUGUGGACCCCAGUGCUCCAGUGCAGUGACACUGCAGCUAACAGGUUAGCCCAUCCUGUUGUCUGUGUGGACCCCAGUGCUCCAGUGCAGUGACAGGGACACUGCAGCUAACAGGUUAGCCCAUCCUGUUGUCUGUGUGGACCCCAGUGCUCCAGUGCAG